This 301-nucleotide ribosomal RNA is filed under the name uncultured bacterium. Its description in RNAcentral is "partial 16S ribosomal RNA". It matches the Rfam family "Bacterial small subunit ribosomal RNA", at positions 509 to 807 of the family's 1533-position model. The record is from RNAcentral.
CAGUCGCCGCGGUAAAACGUAGGUGGCAAGCGUUGUCCGGAAUUAUUGGGCGUAAAGGGCUCGCAGGCGGUUUCUUAAGUCUGAUGUGAAAGCCCCCGGCUCAACCGGGGAGGGUCAUUGGAAACUGGGAAACUUGAGUGCAGAAGAGGAGAGUGGAAUUCCACGUGUAGCGGUGAAAUGCGUAGAGAUGUGGAGGAACACCAGUGGCGGAGGCGACUCUCUGGUCUGUAACUGACGCUGAGGAGCGAAAGCGUGGGGAGCGAACAGGAUUAGAUACCCGUGUAGUCCCUGUCUCUUAUAC